This 489-nucleotide ribosomal RNA is filed under the name uncultured bacterium. RNAcentral describes it as "bacterial SSU rRNA". It matches the Rfam family "Bacterial small subunit ribosomal RNA", at positions 30 to 507 of the family's 1533-position model. The record is from RNAcentral.
UGAACGCUAGCGGCAGGCUUAACACAUGCAAGUCGAGGGGCAGCAUGACACGGAGAUUCGUCAAAGUCUUGAUGGCGACCGGCGCAAGGGUGCGUAACGCGUGAGCAACUUGCCCGUUUCUGGGGAAUAACCGGUGGAAACGCCGACUAAUACCCCAUAGUAUCUCAUUUAGGCAUCUUUAUGAGAUUAAAGAAUUUCGGAAACGGAUAGGCUCGCGUGACAUUAGCUAGAUGGCGGGUAACGGCCCACCAUGGCGACGAUGUCUAGGGGUUCUGAGAGGAAGGUCCCCCACACUGGAACUGAGACACGGUCCAGACUCCUACGGGAGGCAGCAGUGAGGAAUAUUGGUCAAUGGUCUGACGACUGAACCAGCCAUGCCGCGUGAAGGUGACGGCCCUAUGGGUCUUAAACUUCUUUUGUAAGGGAGCAAUAAGGUCUACGUGUAGGCUGAUGAGAGUACCUUACGAAUAAGCAUCGGCUAACUCCGUG